This 253-nucleotide ribosomal RNA is filed under the name uncultured bacterium. Its description in RNAcentral is "partial 16S ribosomal RNA". It matches the Rfam family "Bacterial small subunit ribosomal RNA", at positions 524 to 776 of the family's 1533-position model. The record is from RNAcentral.
UACGUAGGUGGCAAGCGUUGUCCGGAUUUAUUGGGUUUAAAGGGUGCGUAGGCGGUCCUUUAAGUCAGUGCUGAAAUAUCCCGGCUUAACCGGGAGGGUGGCAUUGAUACUGCAGGACUUGAGUGAAGUCGAGGUAGGCGGAAUUGACGGUGUAGCGGUGAAAUGCUUAGAUAUGGCACAGAACACCGAUAGUGAAGACAGCUCACGAGGGCGUUAUUGACGCUGAGGCACGAAAGCGUGGGGAUCGAACAGG